AGUGGCGCACGGGUGAGUAACACGUGAGCGACCUGCCCCCGAGACAGGGAUAGCCCCGGGAAACUGGGAUUAAUACCUGAUGGUCUCGCAAGAGUAAAGCAGCAAUGCGCUCGGGGAGGGGCUCGCGGCCUAUUAGUUAGUUGGCGGGGUAACGGCCCACCAAGGCGAUGACGGGUAGCCGGUCUGAGAGGAUGUCCGGCCACACUGGAACUGAGACACGGUCCAGACACCUACGGGUGGCAGCAGUCGAGAAUCAUUCACAAUGGGGGCAACCCUGAUGGUGCGACGCCGCGUGGGGGAGGAAGGUCUUCGGAUUUAAACCCCUGUCAUGUGGGAGCAAGGCGCAAGCUUGAUAGUACCACAAGAGGAAGAGACGGCAAACUCUGUGCCAGCAGCCGCGGUAAUACAGAGGUCUCAAGCGUUGUUCGGAAUCACUGGGCGUAAAGGGUACGUAGGCUGCCGCAUAAGUCGUGCGUGAAAGGCAGGGGCUCAACCCCUGGAGUGCGCAUGAUACUGUGUGGCUGGAGUAAUGGAGGGGGAACCGGAAUUCUUGGUGUAGCAGUGAAAUGCGUAGAUAUCAAGAAGAAGACUCGUGGCGAAGGCGGGUUCCUGGACAUUUACUGACGCUGAGGUACGAAGGCCGGGGUAGCGAAAGGGAUUAGAUACCCCUGUAGUCCCGGCAGUAAACGGUGCACGCAUGGUGUGCGGGGAAUCGGCCCCCUGCGUGCCGGAGCCAACGCGUUAAGCGUGCCGCCUGGGGAGUACGGUCGCAAGAUUAAAACUCAAAGAAAUUGACGGGGACCCGCACAAGCGGUGGAGUAUGUGGUUUAAUUCGAAGCAACGCGAAGAACCUUACCAGGACUUGACAUCCCUCUGACAGCUUUGAUAACGAUAAGCUUUCUUCGGACAGAGGUGACAGGUGGUGCAUGGUUGUCGUCAGCUCAUGUCGUGAGAUGUUGGGUUAAGUCCCGCAACGAGCGCAACCCUUGUCCUUAGUUGCUACGCAAGAGCACUCUAAGGAGACUGCCGUUGACAAAACGGAGGAAGGUGGGGACGACGUCAAAUCAUCAUGCCCCUUAUGACCUGGGCUACACACGUACUACAAUGGCCGUUAACAGAGAGAAGCAAUCCCGCGAGGAGGAGCAAAACCCUAAAAACGGUCCCAGUUCAGAUUGCAGGCUGCAACUCGCCUAAAUGAAGUCGGAAUUGCUAGUAAUCGCGGAUCAGCAUGCCGCGGUGAAUACGUUCCCGGGCCUUGCACUCACAGCCCGUCA
This 1274-nucleotide ribosomal RNA is filed under the name uncultured bacterium. Its description in RNAcentral is "bacterial SSU rRNA". It matches the Rfam family "Bacterial small subunit ribosomal RNA", at positions 94 to 1399 of the family's 1533-position model. The record is from RNAcentral.